This 253-nucleotide ribosomal RNA is filed under the name uncultured bacterium. RNAcentral describes it as "partial 16S ribosomal RNA". It matches the Rfam family "Bacterial small subunit ribosomal RNA", at positions 524 to 776 of the family's 1533-position model. The record is from RNAcentral.
UACGUAGGGUGCGAGCGUUAAUCGGAAUUACUGGGCGUAAAGUGUGCGCAGGCGGCAGAGCAAGUCGAGUGUGAAAGCCCCGGGCUUAACUUGGGAAUUGCGCUCGAAACUACUUUGCUGGAGUGUGGCAGAGGAAGGUGGAAUUCCACGUGUAGCGGUGAAAUGCGUAGAGAUGUGGAGGAACACCAAUGGCGAAGGCAGCCUCCUGGGCCAGCACUGACGCUCAUGCACGAAAGCGUGGGGAGCAAACAGG